This 279-nucleotide ribosomal RNA is filed under the name uncultured bacterium. RNAcentral's name for it is "partial 16S ribosomal RNA". It matches the Rfam family "Bacterial small subunit ribosomal RNA", at positions 506 to 784 of the family's 1533-position model. The record is from RNAcentral.
UGCCAGCCGCCGCGGUAAUACGGAGGGUGCAAGCGUUGUUCGGAAUUAUUGGGCGUAAAGCGCGUGUAGGCGGUUCGUUAAGUCUGAUGUGAAAGCCCGGGGCUCAACCCCGGAAGUGCCAUUGAUACUGAAAGUCUUGAGUACAGUUGAAGUAGGCGGAAUGUGUAAUGUAGCGGUGAAAUGCUUAGAUAUUACACAGAACACCGAUUGCGAAGGCAGCUUACUAAGCUGUUACUGACGCUGAUGCACGAAAGCGUGGGGAGCGAACAGGAUUAGAUA